Molecule: small nucleolar RNA, 84 nt
Filed under: Dichanthelium oligosanthes
Lineage: Eukaryota; Viridiplantae; Streptophyta; Magnoliopsida; Poales; Poaceae
Source: RNAcentral
AUGGAAGGCUGUGAUGACCAAAAAAAUACCUACCUAUUUUCUGACUCCUGACGAGAGAACCAGUGAAAUUUUCCGAGCCUUCCA